UCUGAUAUAGAUAGUUGAGGCACCAAUGAUAGGGUAGCUUGCACCAUCCUGUGUCGCUAGAAUGACUAAAGGUAACAAGUACUUACAUAGACUCCGAUACAGAUAGGUGAAGCACCAACGAUAGGGUAGCUUGCACCAUUCUGUGUCGCUAGAAUGGAUAAAGGUAACAAGUACUUACAUAGACUCCGAUAAAGAUAGGUGAAGCACCAAUGACAGGGUAGCUUGCACCAUCCUGUGUCGCUAGAAUGACUAAAGGUAACAAGUACUUACAUAGACUCCGAUAUAGAUAGGUGAAGCACCAAUGAUAGGGUAGCUUGCACCAUCCUGUG
Molecule: long non-coding RNA, 329 nt
Organism: Mytilus californianus (California mussel)
Lineage: Eukaryota; Metazoa; Mollusca; Bivalvia; Mytilida; Mytilidae
Exons: 4
Source: RefSeq, a predicted model, not a curated record